Molecule: transfer-messenger RNA, 378 nt
Filed under: Sphingomonadales bacterium EhC05
Lineage: Bacteria; Pseudomonadati; Pseudomonadota; Alphaproteobacteria; Sphingomonadales
Rfam family: Alphaproteobacteria transfer-messenger RNA
About the family: Bacterial tmRNA, also known as 10Sa RNA or SsrA, is named for its dual tRNA and mRNA-like properties.
Source: RNAcentral
AUGCUUUUCAUUCCAGAUUAAGCGCCUAUAUGGAGUCUGUCCGCUUCGGUGGACUAUGGUGAUAAAUGAUGGUGUGUAAUAGACACAGCGGACCCGGGGGCGGUACCCGGCGGCUCCACCAUUCAAAGCGUUUCGACGCUCUGAUUGAAGGGGCCGAACUAGGAUCGACGUGUGUUCAAAAGCUCUAUUUUUGCCCGGCCUGAGUAUGCCGUGAUUGCUCAAAACCUAUAAGUGCAAACGAUAAUGAAGCACUCGCUAUUGCUGCCUAACCCAUUGACCUCACGGUUAUAAGUUAGAAAGCUAUGCGCGGUUGAACCCACCGGGCAACAGAAGGGAAUUCAGCGGCCGGGGGGUGCCGGGCAACAGAAAUCCCCCACU